RNAcentral lists this ribosomal RNA (460 nucleotides) under uncultured bacterium. RNAcentral's name for it is "partial 16S ribosomal RNA". It matches the Rfam family "Bacterial small subunit ribosomal RNA", at positions 338 to 795 of the family's 1533-position model. The record is from RNAcentral.
CCUACGGGUGGCAGCAGUGAGGAAUAUUGGUCAAUGGACGCAAGCCUGAACCAGCCAUGUCGCGUGCAGGAAUACGGCCCUAUGAGUUGUAAACCUCUUUUGUCCGGGAGCAAAAGCCGAUACGCGUAUCUGUCUGAAAGUACCGUACGAAUAAGGACAGGCUAACCCCGUCCCAGCAGCCGCGGUAAUCAGGAGGAUUCAAGUGUUUCCCGGUUUUUUUUGGUUGAAAGGGGGCGGAGGCGGUCUGUUAAGUUUGAGGGGAAAACCCGGGGCUCAAAUUCGGUAUUGCCUGUGAUACUGUUGAGCUAGAGGGUGGUAGCGGUAGGCGGAAUGUAUGGUGUAGCGGUGAAAUGCAUAGAGAUCAUGCAGAACACCGAUUGCGAAGGCAGCAUACCGGGGUACUUCUGACGUUGAGGCACGAAAGCGUGGGGAGCGAACAGGAUUAGAUACCCUAGUAGUC